UAGUGUAUAUUUUUUUCUAAUAUUUUUUAAUGAUGUAAAUUACCUAGGCUGGCUCUCAGAUGGUGAUGUGUGUGCCUGUGGGAGACUGUGGAUGUGUCCAUAAUGGCAAAUACUUAAAGGUGACAUUUAAUGCUUCUCAUACAUUAAGUAUUAGGAGCUUCUCAUCUACUUUUCAGAGCUGCUUUUCCUCAGAUUUUUCAAAAAUCCUCUAUAGUUUGCAUUGCAAGAGUGCAAUCUUUUCUCCACUCUUUCCACAUAGGUUGUCAAAGUCUUAGUAACUGACACCUGUGACAGGAAGUGUGUGUGUCGUGCUGCUGGGCUGUGUGAACAAAAUAUGUUCCAGAGGAGAGAUCUGUGAAGUUCGGGAUGGCCAACGAGAUUGUUACACUGAUCAAGGCCACUGUGUAUUUGAUGCCAAUGACCAGUUGCGGUCCUUUGAUGGUGUAAAGGGGGCAGUGGAGCGGCCGGGAGCCUAUCAAAUGGCUUUCUUGUGCAAUCAAGAGUCUCCUGACUGGUUCCGUGUGGUGUUAAAUGUACAUGCAUGUGCCAGGAAUGAUUCUGGUCGUGUUACAAUGGUCCACAUCUUCUUCCAGGACAUGAUCAUUACGGUCAACAAUUACAGGCACUGCUGGGUCAGUGGAAAAAAAUUUUAUUCUAUAGUGGGGUUUUUUUCUGUACAUCCGCUACAGUCUUAAAAUGUUUUGACACAAAAAACAAAAAACAAAAAAAAAACUGUUGGGAACACAUUUCUCUCAUUCUCUCAACAGGUGAAUGGAAAGAAGGUCUCGUAUCCCUUUAUGCCUAAAGAGAGGGUGUUUGUCUCAUACAUAAGUGAGGCCUUGGUCAUUGAGAAGGUAUCUAUCAUGAGACUGACUGACUCUGGCACUGGAGAGGUCAUGUUAUCCAUAAGCACAGUCUUGACAGACCAACUUUGUGGUGCCUGUGGCAACUUUAAUGGUAUCACUGCAGAUGAUAUGACAACUUCUAAUGGGAGAAACUCCACUAUGAUGUCUCUAGUUGCAUCAUCCUGGCAGGCCGAAGACUUUUUUUACAUGUAUGUAACAACGGAGAAAAAAAAAAAAAAAACUGGCAGGAUGGUUUGAUUACCACAGAGAUUUCUGACUAAUAGAGGAAUUGUAAAUUUUAUUUAGUUGCACAUUGGGGUUAAGAAUGAGGCUUUGGUGUAAACUGGAUGAUUUCUAUCUAUUCUGUAUGCUAUGGUAUGAUCUUAAUACUGCACCUUUUGAGAUUUGAGAUGAUUUGAGAUUACACAUUAAAGAUACGCUUUUAGGUUUACCUCCAAAACUGUUUAGUACUUUUUCUAUUAUUCUAUAUUUUUGACUAAUUAGACAUGUACACAAAGCCUCAGUAGAUUUCCAGGUAUUUACUUGAACUUUCUUAUGUAAUAUCAAUGACUUGACCUAUUUCAGAGGUGGCCACAAUUAGAAUUUAGUUC
Molecule: long non-coding RNA, 1456 nt
Organism: Cyprinus carpio (common carp)
Lineage: Eukaryota; Metazoa; Chordata; Actinopteri; Cypriniformes; Cyprinidae
Source: Ensembl